GGGCCCGCACAAGCGGUGGAGCAUGUGGUUUAAUUCGAUGCAACGCGAAGAACCUUACCAGGGCUUGACAUCCCUCUGACAGCAUCAGAGAUGGUGUUUCUCUUCGGAGCAGAGGAGACAGGUGGUGCAUGGCUGUCGUCAGCUCGUGUCGUGAGAUGUUGGGUUAAGUCCCGCAACGAGCGCAACCCUUGCCUUUAGUUGCCAUCAUUAAGUUGGGCACUCUAGAGGGACUGCCGGCGACAAGUCGGAGGAAGGUGAGGUUGACGUCAAGUCAUCAUGCCCCUUAUGUCCUGGGCUACACACGUGCUACAAUGGUCAGUACAGAGGGGAGCGAAGGGGCGACCUGGAGCAAAUCCCAUAAAGCUGAUCUCAGUUCGGAUUGCAGUCUGCAACUCGACUGCAUGAAGUCGGAAUCGCUAGUAAUCUCGGGUCAGCAUACCGAGGUGAAUACGUUCCCGGGCCUU
Molecule: ribosomal RNA, 464 nt
Filed under: uncultured bacterium
Lineage: Bacteria
Description: bacterial SSU rRNA
Rfam family: Bacterial small subunit ribosomal RNA
Source: RNAcentral